UUGCAGAUAAAAUACAGGAUGUCCAGUUGAGUAUGCUCCGUGCAAGAUUUGGGACACACUUAAGCUAAAAAAUGAUUUGCUGUUUAUCUGAAAAUCAAAUUUAA
This 104-nucleotide microRNA precursor is filed under the name Dasypus novemcinctus (nine-banded armadillo). RNAcentral describes it as "miRNA (ENSDNOG00000043860.1)". The record is from RNAcentral. Lineage: Eukaryota; Metazoa; Chordata; Mammalia; Cingulata; Dasypodidae.